GCGCAGCAGUGAGAAUUUUUCACAAUGGGGGAAACCCUGAUGGAGCGACGCCGCGUGGAGGAUGAAGGUAUUCGUAUCGUAAACUCCUGUCAAACGGGAACAAGAAAGUGAUAGUACCGUCAGAGGAAGAGACGGCUAACUCUGUGCCAGCAGCCGCGGUAAUACAGAGGUCUCAAGCGUUGUUCGGAUUCAUUGGGCGUAAAGGGUGCGCAGGCUGUGGGGUAAGUCGGAUGUGAAAUUUAGGGGCUCAACCCCUAAACUGCAUUCGAUACUGCUCCGCUAGAGGACUGUAGAGGAGAUUGGAAUUCACGGUGUAGCAGUGAAAUGCGUAGAUAUCGUGAGGAAGACCAGUGGCGAAGGCGAAUCUCUGGGCAGUUCCUGACGCUCAUGCACGAAGGCCAGGGGAGCAAACGGGAUUAGAUACCCCGGUAGU
RNAcentral lists this ribosomal RNA (433 nucleotides) under uncultured organism. Its description in RNAcentral is "bacterial SSU rRNA". It matches the Rfam family "Bacterial small subunit ribosomal RNA", at positions 346 to 794 of the family's 1533-position model. The record is from RNAcentral.